This 1365-nucleotide long non-coding RNA is filed under the name Theobroma cacao (cacao). Its description in RNAcentral is "long non-coding RNA (TCAC_LNC005263)". Lineage: Eukaryota; Viridiplantae; Streptophyta; Magnoliopsida; Malvales; Malvaceae. The record is from RNAcentral.
GCAGUAGACUGUCAAUUGCAUCGAUAAGUAAAUUUCGGAGUUGCAUCCUAGAAAGCAAGGUUAUAGACUUAAACUUUCUCAGUUAUUUGGGGGCCCACGUGUCAUUGUAAUUUAAAUUGCAUACUCCAGUUUUAUAUAUUACAGUAUAUAUAAAUUUAUUUUUUUUAUUUGCAGAAAAUUAAUUUUUGAUGUUUCAAAUAUAUAUAUAUUGUUUUACAUUAAAAUAGAUUAUUUUAAUUAAUAUUUUUAUUUUAUUUUAUUAUUCAAAAAAAAAGAAAAAAGAGAGGAAUGGAAAAACUGGUACAAAAGCCUUGCGAGGUCUCGAAAGGUAUUCGGGGGAAGAAUGUCUGUCGAGGCUUCGAGGCGGUUGUCACGGGCUCGAUGAGAGUUCCGAGUCGUGACAGAUUAAGUAUUAAUCUUCAACAUUAUAUUCUUUGUGUUUUAUCAUUUUCAUUGUUGUUGUUUCAACUUCAUAGUCGGUGCAUCACGAUAAUGUGAUUAUCUAGCUGCUUAUUAUUUAAGGAUAAUUUUCUCACAAAUUCGAGCAAUUAUUAUGAUUGGGAAUUACUCAAGUUCAAGGAGUUGAGCAAAACUAGUUUAGGCCAUUUGGAGUUUGGUUGAUUUGUAAGAAUUUCUCUUGCUCCUUGAUAAUGAUUACAGUCUCAGUUAACCAGGGUAGAAAUUCAUAAAUGUUGAGAAGAAAGUAUCAAGAAGCUCUACGGCAAUCAAACACUCAUGGUCUUCAUAGAAAAACAGAGACCUCUAAAUUUUGCACAGUAAUCUGAAUAUCAGAUAUUCUUGCAGGACUCAACAAUAAAUCAGUUUUGCAAAAAAGAAAUGAUUAAUACCAAUCUCAAUUUAUAAAUAUAUCAGUUCUUUGAAUUUGGCAGGUUUACUGAAGAAAGAUCAUGAAACACAUACGGUAAUUGGUUCAUAACUUGCCUCGAAGGAUGCAGAUUAGAAGUGGGCCCCGUAACAAGUUAGGCAGUUUUGUGGCUGGAGUGAAAUGCUGCGUGACUAUAGCAGCGCCAAUUAAUGCCACGUGUGCUUGUCCCAAAUGCUCCUUUUUCUGGUAUUUUACAGCUCUUUCCUAUUUCAACAGUUUUCUUUGAUUUUUAUUUACCUGCACUGCAUCUAAAACUUAUGAUGCGUUUAUGCAGCCUCUUCCCCGGAAAACAACACUGCUAUUUGUUAUGCAUCAUAAAAAUAAUAAUAAUAAUAAUAUAUUCUGGAUUUAAUGCCUUUGAAAUUGCUCUAAACUGAUUUGGGAUGCCAUGAGCUCAAACCUUUGAGGUAUAUGUACUUGUUUAUUCCUCUUGAAUAUUUGGAGCCUCUCAUGAGGGAAGAUACACCAGAAGUAAGAGG